GCCUACGGCCUACUACCCUGAACACGUGCCCGAUCUCGUCUGAUCUCAGAAGCUAAGCAGGGUUGGGCCUGGUUAGUACUUGAAUGGGAAAAAUGAUUGAGGGCUAGGGUAGGGUGGCCA
This 120-nucleotide ribosomal RNA is filed under the name Carlito syrichta (Philippine tarsier). The record is from RNAcentral. Lineage: Eukaryota; Metazoa; Chordata; Mammalia; Primates; Tarsiidae.